RNAcentral lists this ribosomal RNA (253 nucleotides) under uncultured bacterium. RNAcentral describes it as "partial 16S ribosomal RNA". It matches the Rfam family "Bacterial small subunit ribosomal RNA", at positions 524 to 776 of the family's 1533-position model. The record is from RNAcentral.
UACGUAGUGUGCAAGCGUUGUCCGGAAUUAUUGGGCGUAAAGAGCUCGUAGGCGGUUUGUCGCGUCUGCUGUGAAAACUCGGGGCUCAACUCCGAGCUUGCAGUGGGUACGGGCAGACUAGAGUGCGGUAGGGGAGACUGGAAUUCCUGGUGUAGCGGUGGAAUGCGCAGAUAUCAGGAGGAACACCGGUGGCGAAGGCGGGUCUCUGGGCCGUAACUGACGCUGAGGAGCGAAAGCAUGGGGAGCGAACAGG